GGAAGAUUCAGGUUCAAGCUCCUCUUGACCUCAGACUCUUGAAUGUGAAUAAAAUUCCUGGAUCUGAUGCUGGCUCUCUUACUCACUGUGUUGGGAGCUGGUGGUCCAGAGAAAGACUGACACACCAGACAGAAGCCUACUCUGUCUCGCUGUCCCAGAUGCCACGAUUUUCAAUCCUCUGAAGAUUUUCUCAGCAUCCAAGAGCCAGCAUGCCAGGACACUUG
This 224-nucleotide long non-coding RNA is filed under the name Cricetulus griseus (Chinese hamster). RNAcentral's name for it is "lncRNA (ENSCGRG00000025568.1)". Lineage: Eukaryota; Metazoa; Chordata; Mammalia; Rodentia; Cricetidae. The record is from RNAcentral.